RNAcentral lists this ribosomal RNA (454 nucleotides) under uncultured bacterium. RNAcentral describes it as "partial 16S ribosomal RNA". It matches the Rfam family "Bacterial small subunit ribosomal RNA", at positions 28 to 507 of the family's 1533-position model. The record is from RNAcentral.
GAUGAACGCUGACAGAAGGCUUAACACAUGCAAGUCAACUGGAACUUCGGAUUGGGUGGCGGACGGGUGAGUAACGCGUAGAGAACUUGCCUCACAGAGAGGGACAACAUGUGGAAACGAAUGCUAAUACCGGAUAUUAUGAUUAUAUGGCAUCGCAUAAUUAUGAAAGCUAUAUGCGCUGUGAGAGAUCUUUGCGUCCCAUUAGCUAGUUGGCGAGGUAACGGCUCGCCAAGGCGAGGAUGGGUAGCCGGCCUGGGAGGGUGAGAGGCUCCAAGGGGACGCGGGCACCGCCCUUACGCCUACUGGCGCAAGGAGUGGGGAAUAUUGGCCAACGGACCACGUGUCUGAUCCAGCCCUUCUGUGUGUAAGAUGAAGUUUUUCGGAAUGUAAAGUGUUUUCAGUUGGGAAGAAAACAAUGACGGUACCAACAGAAGAAGUGCCGGCUAACUCCGUG